ACCACAGAAGACCUGGGUUGAUUGUUAAGCCAUUUCAUGAUUCUGUCUUGUUGGUCCCGCUCCGGAUGCCAUUCGAUCGGACCCGCAAGGUCGAGAACCGGUCCAACCGGGAAGAUCCUCGGCACUGUAGUAGUCGCUUCAACUGAGGUAAUCGCAUACUUUUCCAGUUCUCGAUAUGUAUUUACAACCACACCCUUCGUUUCCACAUACCUGCGUGUAUGGUAUAAAAACCAAGAAUAUCCAUCACUUCUCCUUUUCAGAACUGAAGUAGGCAGCACUUUUGGAGGCAACGGAUUGGCAAAACCCGGUAUUAUCAACUCAGUGGCAGGAUCUUUAGGUACAAUCAACUCAUUAUCCGACUCAAUGAACUCAGUAGCGAGUUGAACGUCUAUAACCGGCAAGUGUAAC
Molecule: long non-coding RNA, 408 nt
Filed under: Manihot esculenta (cassava)
Lineage: Eukaryota; Viridiplantae; Streptophyta; Magnoliopsida; Malpighiales; Euphorbiaceae
Description: long non-coding RNA (MESC_LNC001528)
Source: RNAcentral